UAGGGGAGCCGGAGGGAAACCGAGUCUUAAUUGGGCGUUAAGUUGCAGGGUAUAGACCCGAAACCCGGUGAUCUAGCCAUGGGCAGGUUGAAGGUUGGGUAACACUAACUGGAGGACCGAACCGACUAAUGUUGAAAAAUUAGCGGAUGACCUGUGGCUGGGGGUGAAAGGCCAAUCAAACCGGGAGAUAGCUGGUUCUCCCCGAAAGCUAUUUAGGUAGCGCCUCGUGAAUUCAUCUCCGGGGGUAGAGCACUGUUUCGGCUAGGGGGCCAUCCCGGCUUACCAACCCGAUGCAAACUGCGAAUACCGGAGAAUGUUAUCACGGGAGACACACGGCGGGUGCUAACGUCCGUCGUGAAGAGGGAAACAACCCAGACCGCCAGCUAAGGUCCCAAAGUCAUGGUUAAGUGGGAAACGAUGUGGGAAGGCCCAGACAGCCAGGAUGUUGGCUUAGAAGCAGCCAUCAUUUAAAGAAAGCGUAAUAGCUCACUGGUCGAGUCGGCCUGCGCGGAAGAUGUAACGGGGCUAAACCAUGCACCGAAGCUGCGGCAGCGACGCUGAUGCGUUGUUGGGUAGGGGAGCGUUCUGUAAGCCUGCGAAGG
This 602-nucleotide ribosomal RNA is filed under the name Salmonella enterica subsp. enterica serovar Saintpaul. RNAcentral's name for it is "bacterial LSU rRNA". It matches the Rfam family "Bacterial large subunit ribosomal RNA", at positions 658 to 1256 of the family's 2925-position model. Lineage: Bacteria; Pseudomonadati; Pseudomonadota; Gammaproteobacteria; Enterobacterales; Enterobacteriaceae. The record is from RNAcentral.